CCCCUCUCAGUGUCAUACCUGGAGAGUUCCCAGUACUCUCUCAGUCUUGACUACAGGAAGGAGAGUCAGGCAGAGGCAUACCCAUUCCAUUCCUAGCUUGGGCAGUGGUUAGCGAGCGGAAGGCAAUCUGCUACAAGU
This 138-nucleotide small nucleolar RNA is filed under the name Ornithorhynchus anatinus (platypus). Lineage: Eukaryota; Metazoa; Chordata; Mammalia; Monotremata; Ornithorhynchidae. The record is from RNAcentral.